Molecule: long non-coding RNA, 610 nt
Organism: Neofelis nebulosa (Clouded leopard)
Lineage: Eukaryota; Metazoa; Chordata; Mammalia; Carnivora; Felidae
Exons: 2
Source: RefSeq, a predicted model, not a curated record
GGCCUAAGGUUUAUCCCCACGGAAGUGGCCACAGCAAUUCAGGAGCAUAUAAGUGAAAUGGAUGGUACAUCGGAAGACUCCUUUGAUAUUACAUCAAGAGAAGUGAAAAGAAUCCAUUAAAAUUAAAAGGAAUUGGUGGUCCCAAUGAAAGAAGUGGCAUCAUUAAGAGAAGCAAUAUUUUCUGGCCCCUGAAAGAUGCCCAUAUCCACAGUGUAUUUCUUAAUCCAAGGAGUCUCUCACUACAUUAUUUCAGCAUAUAAGUUGUUCAGUAUUUUUAAAUGGAAGUCUGUAGUGUUUUGUUGCUCUCAUUGCUUCAUAUAUGUUUUCCUUGACAUUGAACUUAUCUUACUGAGCAGUAAGCAUUAAGUAAUAGAUUCAACAUACGAGUCAUUCUAACACUUAUAUAACAUGAUGUGUAUGUUUGCACGCUCGUGCAUGUGUGUCUGUGUGUGUGAGUGUGUGUGUGCUUAUGUGUUGAGUAGAGAUUGACUAACAUGUUUUUCAGGAGUUUUCUUUUGUUGCUGAAUAUUCAUGGUCUCAGUGAUAUAAUUCAAUCCAACACUCAAGAAUUUGGUACUAUCUUACCUCUGAAGUAAAUAUCACAUUUGCA